This 595-nucleotide ribosomal RNA is filed under the name uncultured bacterium. Its description in RNAcentral is "bacterial SSU rRNA". It matches the Rfam family "Bacterial small subunit ribosomal RNA", at positions 8 to 596 of the family's 1533-position model. The record is from RNAcentral.
AGAGUUUGAUCAUGGCUCAGAUUGAACGCUGGCGGCAGGCUUAACACAUGCAAGUCGAGCGGUAACAGGAGAAGCUUGCUUCUCGCUGACGAGCGGCGGACGGGUGAGUAAUACUUAGGAAUCUACCUAGUAGUGGGGGAUAGCUCGGGGAAACUCGAAUUAAUACCGCAUACGACCUACGGGAGAAAGGGGGCAACUUGUUGCUCUCGCUAUUAGAUGAGCCUAAGUCGGAUUAGCUAGAUGGUGGGGUAAAGGCCUACCAUGGCGACGAUCUGUAGCUGGUCUGAGAGGAUGAUCAGCCACACCGGGACUGAGACACGGCCCGGACUCCUACGGGAGGCAGCAGUGGGGAAUAUUGGACAAUGGGGGCAACCCUGAUCCAGCCAUGCCGCGUGUGUGAAGAAGGCCUUUUGGUUGUAAAGCACUUUAAGCAGUGAAGAAGACUCCAUGGUUAAUACCCAUGGACGAUGACAUUAGCUGCAGAAUAAGCACCGGCUAACUCUGUGCCAGCAGCCGCGGUAAUACAGAGGGUGCAAGCGUUAAUCGGAAUUACUGGGCGUAAAGCGAGCGUAGGUGGCUUGAUAAGUCAGAUGUG